Molecule: ribosomal RNA, 564 nt
Filed under: Triticum aestivum (bread wheat)
Lineage: Eukaryota; Viridiplantae; Streptophyta; Magnoliopsida; Poales; Poaceae
Description: partial small subunit ribosomal RNA
Source: RNAcentral
AUGGAUGAUGAGAACCUGCUCUCCGAGAUCCUCCUCUGCCUCCCCCCGCUGCCGUCCUCCCUCCCCCGCGCCUCCGCCGUCUGCAGGCGCUGGCGCCUCCUCGUCUCCGACCCAGGAUUCUCCCGCCGCUUCCGCAUCCACCACCGCCGCAACCCUCCCCUCCUCGGUUUCUUUGAUGACUUAUUAUCCUUCGUACCUACUCUGGAGGCCCCUAAUCGUGUCCCUCCGGAGCGAUUCUCCUUCGAGGACGACGGCGGCCGUCGCUCAGUGAUCCUCGGAUGCCGCCAUGGCCUAGCACUCUUCUUCCUCCCAUCUUCGAACCAGAUCCUGGUGUGGGAUUCUGUCACCUCCGACCAGCACCGCGUUGCCGUUCCUCCAGAGUUUGAGAGAGAUGGAUUGCAGAUCAUAAUCCAGGGGGCGGUGCUUCGGGUGGCUGCCGGAGAGGUUCACUUCCGAGUGGUCUUGACAGUGGUGGACUUCGAGGACAAACGAGCCCUCGCCCGUGUUUACUCCUCAGCGACCGGCAUAUGGUGUUGCUUCAUGGGUGCUAGGAAGAACUUCUGA